GGGAUGGAGCAUCGCCGCGUGAGUGAAGAAGGGUUUCGGCUCGUAAAACUCUGUUGUUAAAGAAGAACAUAUCUGAGAGUAACUGUUCAGGUAUUGACGGUAUUUAACCAGAAAGCCACGGCUAACUACGUGCCAGCAGCCGCGGUAAUACGUAGGUGGCAAGCGUUGUCCGGAUUUAUUGGGCGUAAAGCGAGCGCAGGCGGUUUUUUAAGUCUGAUGUGAAAGCCUUCGGCUCAACCGAAGAAGUGCAUCGGAAACUGGGAAACUUGAGUGCAAAAGAGGACAGUGGAACUCCAUGUGUAGCGGUGAAAUGCGUAGAUAUAUGGAAGAACACCAGUGGCGAAGGCGGCUGUCUGGUCUGUAACUGACGCUGAGGCUCGAAAGUAUGGGUAGCAAACAGGAUUAGAUACCCUGGUAGUCCAUACCGUAAACGAUGAAUGCUAAGUGUUGGAGGGUUUCCGCCCUUCAGUGCUGCAGCUAACGCAUUAAGCAUUCCGCCUGGGGAGUACGGCCGCAAGGCUGAAACUCAAAGGAAUUGACGGGGGCCCGCACAAGCGGUGGAGCAUGUGGUUUAAUUCCAAGCUACGCGAAAAACCU
RNAcentral lists this ribosomal RNA (597 nucleotides) under Lactiplantibacillus plantarum. RNAcentral's name for it is "bacterial SSU rRNA". It matches the Rfam family "Bacterial small subunit ribosomal RNA", at positions 383 to 971 of the family's 1533-position model. Lineage: Bacteria; Bacillati; Bacillota; Bacilli; Lactobacillales; Lactobacillaceae. The record is from RNAcentral.